RNAcentral lists this ribosomal RNA (460 nucleotides) under uncultured bacterium. RNAcentral describes it as "partial 16S ribosomal RNA". It matches the Rfam family "Bacterial small subunit ribosomal RNA", at positions 338 to 795 of the family's 1533-position model. The record is from RNAcentral.
CCUACGGGUGGCAGCAGUGAGGAAUAUUGGUCAAUGGGCGCGAGACUGAACCAGCCAAGUAGCGUGAAGGAUGACUGCACUAAGGGUUGUAAACUUCUUUUAUAAGGGAAUAAAGUGAGGCACGCGUGCCUUUUUGUAUGUACCUUAUGAAUAAGGAUCGGCUAACUCCGUGCCAGCAGCCGCGGUAAUACGGAGGAUCCGAGCGUUAUCCGGAUUUAUUGGGUUUAAAGGGAGCGUAGACGGGUUGUUAAGUCAGUUGUGAAAGGCUGCGGCUCAACCGUAGAACUGCAGUUGAUACUGGCAGCCUUGAGUACAGUAGAGGUAGGCGGAAUUCGUGGUGUAGCGGUGAAAUGCUUAGAUAUCACGAAGAACUCCGAUUGCGAAGGCAGCCUACUAAACUGCCACUGACGUUGAGGCUCGAAAGUGUGGGUAUCGAACAGGAUUAGAUACCCGAGUAGUC